CAGUUCGGAUUGUAGUCUGCAACCCGACUACAUGAAGCUGGAAUCGCUAGUAAUCGCGAAUCAGAAUGUCGCGGUGAAUACGUUCCCGGGUCUUGUACACACCGCCCGUCACACCACGGAAGUUGGGGGCGCCCGAAGCCACUUAGCUAACCCUUUGGGAAGCGAGUGUCGAAGGUGAAAUCAAUAACUGGGGUGAAGUCGUAACAAGGUAUC
Molecule: ribosomal RNA, 213 nt
Filed under: uncultured bacterium
Lineage: Bacteria
Description: partial 16S ribosomal RNA
Rfam family: Bacterial small subunit ribosomal RNA
Source: RNAcentral